GCUGACAUAAGUAACGAUAAAGCGGGUGAAAAGCCCGCUCGCCGGAAGACCAAGGGUUCCUGUCCAACGUUAAUCGGGGCAGGGUGAGUCGACCCCUAAGGCGAGGCCGAAAGGCGUAGUCGAUGGGAAACAGGUUAAUAUUCCUGUACUUGGUGUUACUGCGAAGGGGGGACGGAGAAGGCUAUGUUGGCCGGGCGACGGUUGUCCCGGUUUAAGCGUGUAGGCUGGUUUUCCAGGCAAAUCCGGAAAACUAAGGCUGAGGCGUGAUGACGAGGCACUACGGUGCUGAAGCAACAAAUGCCCUGCUUCCAGGAAAAGCCUCUAAGCAUCAGGUAACAUCAAAUCGUACCCCAAACCGACACAGGUGGUCAGGUAGAGAAUACCAAGGCGCUUGAGAGAACUCGGGUGAAGGAACUAGGCAAAAUGGUGCCGUAACUUCGGGAGAAGGCACGCUGAUAUGUAGGUGAAGUCCCUCGCGGAUGGAGCUGAAAUCAGUCGAAGAUACCAGCUGGCUGCAACUGUUUAUUAAAAACACAGCACUGUGCAAACACGAAAGUGGACGUAUACGGUGUGACGCCUGCCCGGUGCCGGAAGGUUAAUUGAUGGGGUCAGCGCAAGCGAAGCUCUUGAUCGAAGCCCCGGUAAACGGCGGCCGUAACUAUAACGGUCCUAAGGUAGCGAAAUUCCUUGUCGGGUAAGUUCCGACCUGCACGAAUGGCGUAAUGAUGGCCAGGCUGUCUCCACCCGAGACUCAGUGAAAUUGAACUCGCUGUGAAGAUGCAGUGUACCCGCGGCAAGACGGAAAGACCCCGUGAACCUUUACUAUAGCUUGACACUGAACAUUGAGCCUUGAUGUGUAGGAUAGGUGGGAGGCUUUGAAGUGUGGACGCCAGUCUGCAUGGAGCCGACCUUGAAAUACCACCCUUUAAUGUUUGAUGUUCUAACGUUGACCCGUAAUCCGGGUUGCGGACAGUGUCUGGUGGGUAGUUUGACUGGGGCGGUCUCCUCCUAAAGAGUAACGGAGGAGCACGAAGGUUGGCUAAUCCUGGUCGGACAUCAGGAGGUUAGUGCAAUGGCAUAAGCCAGCUUGACUGCGAGCGUGACGGCGCGAGCAGGUGCGAAAGCAGGUCAUAGUGAUCCGGUGGUUCUGAAUGGAAGGGCCAUCGCUCAACGGAUAAAAGGUACUCCGGGGAUAACAGGCUGAUACCGCCCAAGAGUUCAUAUCGACGGCGGUGUUUGGCACCUCGAUGUCGGCUCAUCACAUCCUGGGGCUGAAGUAGGUCCCAAGGGUAUGGCUGUUCGCCAUUUAAAGUGGUACGCGAGCUGGGUUUAGAACGUCGUGAGACAGUUCGGUCCCUAUCUGCCGUGGGCGCUGGAGAACUGAGGGGGGCUGCUCCUAGUACGAGAGGACCGGAGUGGACGCAUCACUGGUGUUCGGGUUGUCAUGCCAAUGGCACUGCCCGGUAGCUAAAUGCGGAAGAGAUAAGUGCUGAAAGCAUCUAAGCACGAAACUUGCCCCGAGAUGAGUUCUCCCUGACUCCUUGAGAGUCCUGAAGGAACGUUGAAG
RNAcentral lists this ribosomal RNA (1567 nucleotides) under Escherichia coli. Its description in RNAcentral is "partial 23S ribosomal RNA". It matches the Rfam family "Bacterial large subunit ribosomal RNA", at positions 1296 to 2843 of the family's 2925-position model. Lineage: Bacteria; Pseudomonadati; Pseudomonadota; Gammaproteobacteria; Enterobacterales; Enterobacteriaceae. The record is from RNAcentral.